This 255-nucleotide ribosomal RNA is filed under the name uncultured bacterium. Its description in RNAcentral is "partial 16S ribosomal RNA". It matches the Rfam family "Archaeal small subunit ribosomal RNA", at positions 474 to 727 of the family's 1478-position model. The record is from RNAcentral.
UACCAGCACCCCGAGUGGUCGGGACGUUUUAUUGGGCCUAAAGCAUCCGUAGCCGGUUCUACAAGUCUUCCGUUAAAUCCACCUGCUUAACAGAUGGGCUGCGGAAGAUACUAUGGAGCUAGGAGGCGGGAGAGGCAAGCGGUACUCGAUGGGUAGGGGUAAAAUCCGUUGAUCCAUUGAAGACCACCAGUGGCGAAGGCGGCUUGCCAAAACGCGCUCGACGGUGAGGGAUGAAAGCUGGGGGGGGCAAACCGG